GGACGAUUAACUCAGUUGGUAGAGUGGCAGCCUGUUAAGUUGUGUGUCACUGGUUCGAAUCCAGUAUCGUCCGCCA
This 76-nucleotide transfer RNA is filed under the name Parahaemophilus parainfluenzae. Its description in RNAcentral is "Haemophilus parainfluenzae tRNA-Asn". It matches the Rfam family "tRNA". From Rfam's summary of the family: Transfer RNA (tRNA) molecules are approximately 80 nucleotides in length. Lineage: Bacteria; Pseudomonadati; Pseudomonadota; Gammaproteobacteria; Pasteurellales; Pasteurellaceae. The record is from RNAcentral.